Molecule: ribosomal RNA, 297 nt
Filed under: uncultured bacterium
Lineage: Bacteria
Description: partial 16S ribosomal RNA
Rfam family: Bacterial small subunit ribosomal RNA
Source: RNAcentral
GGAUUAGAUACCCUGGUAGUCCACGCCCUAAACGAUGAAAACUUGCAGUUGGAUAUAUAGAUAUAUUUAGUUGCGUAGCUAACGCGUUAAGUUUUCCGCCUGGGGAGUACGAUCGCAAGAUUAAAACUCAAAGGAAUUGACGGGGGCCCGCACAAGCGGUGGAGCAUGUGGUUUAAUUCGAUGGUACACGAAGAACCUUACCCACUUUUGAUCUCUAAAGCUUAGUAGAGAUACUUUGGUGCCUUUAAUUAAGGAAUUAGAUGACAGGUGCUGCAUGGCUGUCGUCAGCUCGUGCUG